AAUACAGGAGCCCUGCUAAAUUUGAAUUUCAAAUAAACUACAAGUUAUCAUUUAGUAUCAGCAUGUCUCAUGCAAUAUUUGGGACAGACUUGUGCUAAAAAAAUAACCCGCUGUUUAUCUGAAAUUUAAAUUUAACUGGGUUUCUGUAUUUU
Molecule: microRNA precursor, 152 nt
Filed under: Pteropus vampyrus (large flying fox)
Lineage: Eukaryota; Metazoa; Chordata; Mammalia; Chiroptera; Pteropodidae
Description: miRNA (ENSPVAG00000024743.1)
Source: RNAcentral